This 400-nucleotide long non-coding RNA is filed under the name Brassica rapa (field mustard). Its description in RNAcentral is "long non-coding RNA (BRAP_LNC001945)". Lineage: Eukaryota; Viridiplantae; Streptophyta; Magnoliopsida; Brassicales; Brassicaceae. The record is from RNAcentral.
AGAAAAUAAAUAGCAAAUUUGAGUCUUUUUCAAAAAAACAAAUAUCCUUUAUAUACUAAAGCACAAGUCACACAAGCAAUUAAAUUCUGAUACAUAGGAAAUGUUUUAAAAAAUUAUAAAAAAGAAAUGCAAAAAAAAAUUGCAAAACAGUUUGUCUAUUUAUCGUUUAACUGAUCUUUUUAUAAAAUUAAAAAAAAAUUCCUAAAAAUUCUCACACUAAACCCACGAUCUCACCAUUUUGGAAUCGUUAAUCUUUUCUCUCCUACACUUAACUUCAUCUCUAUUGCUUUCAGAAAAUUUUAAUUCUUAAAUUCUGUGUGCCAGCUUCUAACUCUCUCCAAAAUGUGAUGUGGAAAUAUAAACUUUUAUACAUGUAGAUGAUCAAAGACUUUUACUCGCG